UGCUCUUACAGUUUCUCAGUGUGAGAGCUGUGCUCAUUGAAACCAGCCCAGGGAUAGAGUUGCACAGAUAUCACUGUAAACUCAUCUGCGUGGGCCUAAAUGUGCAGCAGAGCAAAAAUCACAGGGAACAUCAGAGUGAGUCAAAAAAAGGAUUUUUCUGAUCCAGAUCCUGACACUUCACCAUUACAGAAUGUGAAGAUGUCCCAGUGUCACUGCAGAGCUGUCUGCACUCAUCAGACACACUGGAUUGACUUCUCCCCUCUGCAGAUUCAGUUCACCAAGGAGAUUCAAAAUCAGGGUGAGAGAAAAGGAGAAAAGAGAGAGGAGGAACUGAAGCACCACUUCAUAGCAUCUCUGUCAGCAAAAUAACCCAGUAACUCCAGUAUUAUUAACACAUAAAU
Passer domesticus (house sparrow) is the source of this 401-nucleotide long non-coding RNA. RefSeq lists it as uncharacterized. The transcript has 3 exons. Lineage: Eukaryota; Metazoa; Chordata; Aves; Passeriformes; Passeridae. The record is from RefSeq and is a predicted model, not a curated record.